Molecule: ribosomal RNA, 463 nt
Filed under: uncultured bacterium
Lineage: Bacteria
Description: bacterial SSU rRNA
Rfam family: Bacterial small subunit ribosomal RNA
Source: RNAcentral
UGGAGGCAGCAGUGAGGAAUAUUGCGCAAUGGGCGAAAGCCUGACGCAGCAACGCCGCGUGGGGGAUGAAGGUUCUCGGAUUGUAAACCCCUUUCGAUCGGAACGAAUCCCCUCCUGGUAAAUAAUCAGGAGGAUCGACGGUACCGAGAGAAGAAGCCACGGCUAACUCUGUGCCAGCAGCCGCGGUAAGACAGAGGUGGCUAGCGUUGUUCGGAUUUAUUGGGCGUAAAGCGCACGCAGGCGGUUUGGUAAGUCAGAGGUGAAAGCCCACGGCUUAACCGUGGCAUUGCCUUUGAUACUGCCUUUCUUGAGUAGAGUAGGGGGAAGCGGAAUUCCGAGUGUAGAGGUGAAAUUCGUAGAUAUUCGGAGGAACACCGGUGGCGAAGGCGGCUUCCUGGACUCUAACUGACGCUCAUGUGCGAAAGCGUGGGGAGCAAACAGGAUUAGAAACCCUUGUAGUCCU